GGGUCAGUAGGUUGGUCGUGCCACCGGUACGUACUGGUCUCACUGAUUCCUCCUUUCCUGAAGAACCGUAAUGCCAUUAAUUUGGUGUUGCGGGGAAACAGGACUGUUACUUUGAAAAAAUUAUAGUGUUUAAAGCAAGCUAACGCUUGAAUACAUUAGCAUGGAAUAAUGAAAUAGGACGAUCGAUCCUAUUUUGUUGGUUUCUAGGAUUGACGUA
This 217-nucleotide ribosomal RNA is filed under the name Glomeromycotina sp. RNAcentral's name for it is "partial small subunit ribosomal RNA". The stretch from base 32 to 217 matches the Rfam family "Eukaryotic small subunit ribosomal RNA", at positions 677 to 864 of the family's 1831-position model. Lineage: Eukaryota; Fungi; Glomeromycota. The record is from RNAcentral.